Molecule: non-coding RNA, 162 nt
Filed under: Candidatus Omnitrophota bacterium
Lineage: Bacteria; Pseudomonadati; Candidatus Omnitrophota
Description: Omnitrophica WOR c-di-GMP sequence
Rfam family: c-di-GMP-I riboswitch aptamer (bases 48-162)
About the family: GEMM was predicted in a large-scale screen for bacterial structured RNA regulatory elements. Genes associated with GEMM are involved in a diverse array of functions, including chemotaxis regulation, signal transduction, secretion and chitin.
Source: RNAcentral
UCUCGAUAAGAGCAAACCUCCGCCACUAAUACGUCGGCGGACCCGCCGAAGUGGUGUGGCGGGUGCCGUAAGGCAGGGGCGCAAAGCCACGGGCCUUACCGCCGUGUAACGUUGAACGUUCAACGUUAAACGUUGCACGCGGUUGGUAGCCGGGCUGCCGAA